This is an RNA transcript of Acanthopagrus latus (yellowfin seabream), 3068 nucleotides long. It is a transcript of the gene named doublecortin-like kinase 2a, with no coding region annotated. The transcript has 18 exons. The record is from RefSeq and is a predicted model, not a curated record. Lineage: Eukaryota; Metazoa; Chordata; Actinopteri; Spariformes; Sparidae.
UUUGAACACAUUAUUGGGUCACUGAGGAUGAGUGUCAACUUCAUUGUUUCCGGACCCUGAAUAAAUCGGCGGAACAAUAGAGAGCAUUAGGACCCUGGGGCGGGGAGGGCUUCCCCGCUCUCAUUAUCCAUUGAUUUGACAGCUCGAGCUGCGGACCAGUCACGGAGAGGAUGUGAGGUGGAGAAGGCGGCGGCUUGCGGUCUCUGGUGCGGUGCGCCGAAGUUUUGCGAAAUUUCUCCUCUGUUUGAAUCCCGACGGCAGGUCCAGUGCGAUGUCUGUCAAGCACAGCUGCUCAUCAUCCGACACGUUUUCGUCCGGAUAAACCCGAGCCGGCGUUUGGAUUUACCCGCUCCUCCUCCUCCUGCUGCUGCUGCGCGUUUGUAAGGUAGACGGAUCGAUUCACCGGAUCAGUCAGGCAGGACGCGGAAUCGGUUCCUCUGUGGACUUUCAAGAUUAUUCCCGGACUUGUUUCUUAUUUUCUGGGAGCUGUACCGGUGCAGCGAGUAGUCCCUCUCUGGACUUGGAAGUGAAGGAGGCUGGGGACGCACACGUGUUACCCUCUCUGUCAUCCUCCUGCGCUCUCUGGAUAAAAAGAAAAGUUGCCUCUUCUGUUUUGGGAUUUAGUUUGAGGCGUACAGAGAAAUAGUGACCGACAACAUGUCGCUCAGCAGAAGUAUUGAGUUUGAACACUUCGAGGAGCGAGAGAAGCCGCACCGGACGCCGAGGACCAACUCCGUGUCCGGGUCCCACUCGGGCUCCAGGGGGAACGGUCUGGUCCCCAGCCCGGCGCACAGCGCGCACUGCAGCUUCUACCGCACACGCACCCUCCAGUCCCUCACGUCCGAGAAGAAAGCCCGAAAAGUGCGCUUUUACCGCAACGGGGACAAAUACUUUAAAGGUCUGGUGUACGCCGUGUCCAGCGACCGGUUCAGGUCCCUGGAUGCUCUGCUCAUGGAGCUCACCAGGUCCCUGUCGGACAAUGUCAACCUCCCUCAGGGAGUCCGGGCGUUAUACGCGUUGGACGGAGGCAAGAAGAUCACCAGUCUGGAUGAGUUAGUGGAGGGCGAGAGUUACGUCUGCGCCUCGAAUGAACCCUUCCGACGGGUGGACUACACCAAGAACGUCAACCCCAACUGGUCGGUGGGCUGCAAGACCGGCACGUCGCGCUCCCUCUCCUCCCUCAUCCCGCUGAAGAACGAGCUGCAGCGCGAGUCCAAGGACUUCAUCAAACCCAAGCUCGUCACCGUCAUCCGCAGCGGCGUCAAGCCCCGCAAGGCGGUGCGGAUACUGCUCAAUAAGAAGACGGCGCACUCCUUCGACCAGGUGCUCACCGACAUCACAGACGCCAUCAAGUUGGACUCCGGAGCUGUGAGGAGAUUGUACACUUUGGAGGGCAAGCAGAUUACCUGCCUGCAGGACUUCUUCGGGGACGACGAUGUAUUCAUAGCGUGCGGCCCGGAGAAGUACCGCUAUGCCCAGGACGACUUUGUGUUGGAUCACAGCGGUAAGGCUUCCACAGCCUUUAUGACUGAAUGCAGAGCGCUGAAGUCGUCCCACAGCCGCUCCGCCACUCCGAACCGGUCUGCUAAGAGCCCCGCGCGACGCAGCAAGUCUCCCGGCGCAGCGAGGCAGCCCGUCCACUACUCCACCAGCCAGUCUCCAAUCAAAUCCCCAGUAAACGGUGUCUCAAACAGCCAGAUCUCGACUCCAAGAUCCACCAAGUCCUCCACCCCCUCUCCCACCAGCCCGCGACCCCUCCCUACUUUUAAGAUCCCCGCGUCACAUCACGUCUCGUCGCCAAAUGUAAACGGCUCGUUGAACAACCACCAGGAGCAAACCAACCGACUGAGUCCAGAGGUUAAUGGCAACCGCUACCCACCCGCCUCCUCCAUCUCGGAGAAGUACAAGAUCGGCAAGGUCAUCGGGGACGGCAACUUCGCCGUGGUCAAAGAGUGCGUGGAGAGGUCCACGGGAAAAGAGUUUGCGCUGAAGAUCAUCGACAAGGCCAAGUGCAGCGGAAAGGAGCACCUCAUAGAGAACGAGGUGGCGGUGCUGCGGAAGGUGAAACACCCCAACAUCAUCAUGUUGAUAGAGGAGGUGGACACUUCCUCUGAGCUCUACCUGGUCAUGGAGCUUGUCAAGGGAGGAGAUCUGUUCGAUGCCAUCACCUCCUCGGCGAAAUACACGGAGAGGGACGCCACCGCCAUGGUGUACAAUCUCGCCGGAGCCCUGAAGUACCUGCACAGCAUCAACAUCGUCCACAGGGACAUCAAACCAGAGAACCUGCUGGUGUUCGAGUAUCCAGACGGCACCAAGUCUUUGAAACUAGGCGACUUCGGUCUGGCCACCGUGGUGGAAGGACCUUUGUACACCGUAUGUGGAACUCCAACAUACGUGGCUCCAGAAAUCAUCUCAGAGUCUGGCUACGGUCUGAAGGUGGAUAUCUGGGCUGCAGGUGUCAUCACCUACAUCCUCCUGUGCGGCUUCCCUCCGUUCAGAAGUGAGAGCAACAUGCAAGAGGAUCUGUUCGAUCAGAUCCUCCUGGGGCGACUGGAAUUCCCCAGUCCUUACUGGGACAACAUCACUGACUUGGCCAAGGAGCUGAUCGGAAAGAUGCUGCAGGUCAACGUGGAGGCUCGAUACACGGCCCAAGACAUCCUCUGCCACCCUUGGGUCACGGACGACGCAGUCACCGGGAACAACAUGAAGAUGGAGGUCACAGGUAAACUGAAGACGCACUUUAACACUGCGCCUAAGCACGACAACACCACGGCCGGCGUGUCGGUCAUCAUGUUUGAGGUGUAAUCGUUGGGCCCCGGCCUCGGCCCAUCCUCCUCCUCCUCCUCUCCAUCCUCUUCCUCCUCCCUCAUCCUCACCCCUCCCUCACACCCCGACCCAGGACCACAGGGGACGCCUGGAGCUGAGAGCCGGAACACAGCUCUUGAUAAGGAGACCCUCAAGAUUCGACGUUGUCCAGGGCCCCAAACAGCGCCGUGCCCACCGUCAUCGGCCGGCAAGAAAGCCCCAUCUCCAGCCAAACAGCCGACCAAGUCAGGACCAGCUUCUCC